UAAUACAGAGGGUGCGAGCGUUAAUCGGAAUUACUGGGCGUAAAGCGAGUGUAGGUGGCUCAUUAAGUCACAUGUGAAAUCCCCGGGCUUAACCUGGGAACUGCAUGUGAUACUGGUGGUGCUAGAAUAUGUGAGAGGGAAGUAGAAUUCCAGGUGUAGCGGUGAAAUGCGUAGAGAUCUGGAGGAAUACCGAUGGCGAAGGCAGCUUCCUGGCAUAAUAUUGACACUGAGAUUCGAAAGCGUGGGUAGCAAACAGGAUUAGAUACCCUGGUAGUCCACGCCGUAAACGAUGUCUACUAGCCGUUGGGGUCCUUGAGACUUUAGUGGCGCAGUUAACGCGAUAAGUAGACCGCCUGGGGAGUACGGCCGCAAGGUUAAA
RNAcentral lists this ribosomal RNA (379 nucleotides) under uncultured bacterium. RNAcentral's name for it is "bacterial SSU rRNA". It matches the Rfam family "Bacterial small subunit ribosomal RNA", at positions 521 to 898 of the family's 1533-position model. The record is from RNAcentral.